GACGAACGCUGGCGGCGUGCUUAACACAUGCAAGUCGAACGGAAAGGCCCUACGGGGUACUCGAGUGGCGAACGGGAGCGGAACACGUGGGUGAACGGCCCCGCACUUUGGGAUAAGCCUGGGAAACUGGGACUAAUACUGAAAAGGACCGCGCGCUGCAGGGGGAGGGGUGGAAAGCUUUUGCGGUGUGGGAUGGGCCCGCGGCCGAUCCGCCUGUGGGUGGGGUAAUGGCGGACCAAGGCGACGACGGGGGGCCGGCCUGAGAGGGUGACCGGCCCCACUGGGCCUGGGGUGCCGCCCGUACUCCUACGUGAGCCAGCAGCGGGAAAUAUUGCGCGAUGGGCGCCAGCCUGAUGCAGCGACGCCGCGUGGGGGAUGACGGCCGUCGGGUUGUAAACCUCUUUCGCCAGGGACGAAGCCCCAGUGACGGUACCUGGCGAAGAAGCACCGGCCAACUACGUG
This 462-nucleotide ribosomal RNA is filed under the name uncultured bacterium. RNAcentral's name for it is "partial 16S ribosomal RNA". It matches the Rfam family "Bacterial small subunit ribosomal RNA", at positions 28 to 507 of the family's 1533-position model. The record is from RNAcentral.